AGCGGGGUUAGUGUAUCCUAAUCAAGACACAGAGCAUGUGGAAAUUCUAGUUCUGAUACCAAGGCAAGCUAUCCAGGAAGACCUUUUCUCAGUAUUCCUCCUGACUGUGGUGGCAUUUCUGGAGUUUUACAUACUUACCUCUUCUAUGUGAGUGGAAAAAUGUUAAAAAGGCUGUUGAAGAAUUGAAGUCUAGUCUGUUCUUAAUGAGACUGUGGGAAAAUGUUUGGAAGACUUUAGUGGUGAUGCUUAUAACGGCUUGCAGCUCUUGUGCCUCAACGCUAUGAGGAGAGGAUGCGAUCAUUCUUUCA
Molecule: long non-coding RNA, 308 nt
Filed under: Struthio camelus australis
Lineage: Eukaryota; Metazoa; Chordata; Aves; Struthioniformes; Struthionidae
Description: lncRNA (ENSSCUG00000016883.1)
Source: RNAcentral